This 477-nucleotide ribosomal RNA is filed under the name Fusarium oxysporum. Its description in RNAcentral is "eukaryotic LSU rRNA". The stretch from base 151 to 303 matches the Rfam family "5.8S ribosomal RNA". Lineage: Eukaryota; Fungi; Ascomycota; Sordariomycetes; Hypocreales; Nectriaceae. The record is from RNAcentral.
AUACCGAGUUUCAACUCCCAAACCCCUGUGAACAUACCACUUGUUGCCUCGGCGGAUCAGCCCGCUCCCGGUAAAACGGGACGGCCCGCCAGAGGACCCCUAAACUCUGUUUCUAUAUGUAACUUCUGAGUAAAACCAUAAAUAAAUCAAAACUUUCAACAACGGAUCUCUUGGUUCUGGCAUCGAUGAAGAACGCAGCAAAAUGCGAUAAGUAAUGUGAAUUGCAGAAUUCAGUGAAUCAUCGAAUCUUUGAACGCACAUUGCGCCGCCAGUAUUCUGGCGGGCAUGCCUGUUCGAGCGUCAUUUCAACCCUCAAGCACAGCUUGGUGUUGGGACUCGCGUUAAUUCGCGUUCCCCAAAUUGAUUGGCGGUCACGUCGAGCUUCCAUAGCGUAGUAGUAAAACCCUCGUUACUGGUAAUCGUCGCGGCCACGCCGUUAAACCCCAACUUCUGAAUGUUGACCUCGGAUCAGGAGAA